AUACGGAGGAUCCGAGCGUUAUCCGGAUUUAUUGGGCUUAAAGGGAGCGUAGGUGGGAUAUUAAGUCAGCUGUGAAAGUUUGGGGCUCAACCUUAAAAUUGCAGUUGAUACUGGUUUCCUUGAGUACGGUACAGGUGGGCGGAAUUCGUGGUGUAGCGGUGAAAUGCUUAGAUAUCACGAAGAACUCCGAUCGCGAAGGCAGCUCACCGGGCCGGAACUGACACUGAUGCUCGAAAGUGCGGGUAUCAAACAGGAUUAGAUACCCUGGUAGUCCGCACAGUAAACGAUGAAUACUCGCUGUUUGCGAUACACGGUAAGCGGCCAAGCGAAAGCGUUAAGUAUUCCACCUGGGGAGUACGCCGGCAACGGUGAAACUCAAAUGAAUUGACGGGG
Molecule: ribosomal RNA, 393 nt
Filed under: uncultured bacterium
Lineage: Bacteria
Description: partial 16S ribosomal RNA
Rfam family: Bacterial small subunit ribosomal RNA
Source: RNAcentral